GCUCAGUUGGUUAAGCGGCAGACUCUUGAUUUCAGCUCAGGUCUUAAUCUCCAGGUUGUGAGUUCAAGCCCCACACUGGGCA
RNAcentral lists this transfer RNA (82 nucleotides) under Canis lupus familiaris (dog). It matches the Rfam family "tRNA". Rfam says of the family: Transfer RNA (tRNA) molecules are approximately 80 nucleotides in length. Their secondary structure includes four short double-helical elements and three loops (D, anti-codon, and T loops). The record is from Rfam by way of RNAcentral. RNAcentral also lists the same sequence under 1 other name. Lineage: Eukaryota; Metazoa; Chordata; Mammalia; Carnivora; Canidae.